UACGGGGGGGGCAAGCGUUGUUCGGAAUUACUGGGCGUAAAGGGCUCGUAGGCGGCCAACUAAGUCAGACGUGAAAUCCCUCGGCUUAACCGGGGAACUGCAUCUGAUACUGGAUGGCUUGAGAUUGGGAGAGGGAUGCGGAAUUCCAGGUGUAGCGGUGAAAUGCGUAGAUAUCUGGAGGAACACCGGUGGCGAAGGCGGCAUCCUGGACCGACACUGACGCUGAGGAGCGAAAGCCAGGGGGGCAAACGGG
Molecule: ribosomal RNA, 253 nt
Filed under: uncultured bacterium
Lineage: Bacteria
Description: partial 16S ribosomal RNA
Rfam family: Bacterial small subunit ribosomal RNA
Source: RNAcentral